UCCCCUGCAAUUUCCCUGCUCAAUUCACUGUCAUUUAGGAGUUAAAUCUCUUUGUUUCUGUUUAUGCAGCCCUUGCCACACCUCCCCUGGCUAUGAUUGACAGAGCCUGCAUGAAAAAAAAAACUGGUUUCACUUUCAAACAGAUGUAAUUUACCUGAAAUAAUUGUAUCUCAAUCUCUAAAUUAAACUUUAAUCACAUACAGGAGGCUCUUGCAGGGUCUAGCAAGCUAUUAACAUAGCAGGGGAUAAGAAAAUCUUAAUUAAACAGAACUUGCAAUAAAGAAAGCCUAAAUAGGGCUCUCUAUACAGGAAAUGUUUAUGGAAGGCUGUACAAGUCACAUGCAGGGAGGUGUGACUAGGGUUCAUAAACAAAGGGAUUAAACUCCUAAAAGGCAGAAGAUUGAGCAGUGAGGCUGCAGGGGCAUGUUCUAUACACCAAAACUGCUUCAGUAACCUAAAGUUGUUCAGGUGACUAUAGUGUCCCUUUAAGGACCGCGGACAUACCUAGUAUGCCUGCGGCAAAUAUUAUUAUUAUUAUUGUUAUGAUAUUUAUAGAGCGCCGUCAAAUUCCGUAGCGCUUAACAAUCGGUGGACGAAACAGACAUGUAGUUGUACACACAGGAACAGAGGGGUUGAGGGCCCCGCUCAAUGAGCUUACAUGCUAGAGGGAGUGGGGUAAAAUGACACAAAAAGGUAAGGAUAGUAUUAGACUAGUGACAGUUGCAGAAGAGGAAUCAGUCAGGAGCUAUUAACAGUUUAAUCGUUUUAUGAAGAAGUGGGUUUUUAACGAUUUUUUGAAGGAGUGUGUGUAAAAAUGUGUAAAAAUGAAAAUUGAAAAAUUACCACCACACAUUUUAUCCAAUUUUGUUUGGCUAAAAUGGUUGCAUCAAAGGCAUAAAACCACUCUAUACACAAUACUUUAUGGUGUCAACUUUUCAAAUAUAUGCACGUUCAUGGCAAGAAAAUAAAUUGGGAUCUGUAAAAAGGCCCCCAAAAAGAAGAUAGGCAAAGAAGAUAUGUCAAAUUUGAAAAACACAUGUCAGAAGUUUAGCAUUGCACCCCCCAAACAACCCAAUAAACCUAUGCAUAGGUGGUACCAUUGCUGAGCACAUAUUGGGGUGUUCUUUGGCAGUAACCAAUUUUUUAAUUUUUUUAAAUUUGGCAUAGAUUGGUGGUAAAAUGGUUGCAUGAAAAGAGUCAAAAUACCCCAAGUCUAAUAUCUUUGGUUGUCUACUUUUAAAAAAUAUAUACAUGUGAAGGGUUAUUCAGGGAUUCCUGACAGAUAUCAGUGUUACAAUGUAACUUUCAUUAAUUUGGAAAAAAAAAUGGUUUGGAAAUAGCAAAGUGCUACUUGUACUUAUUGCCCUGUAACUUGCAAAAGAACAUGUUAACAUUGGGUAUUUCUAAACUCAUGACAAAAUUUAGAAACUAUUUAGCAUAAGUUUAUUUUGGUGGUUAUAGAUGCGUAACAGAUUUUGUGGUUAUUUUUAAAAUGUCUUCAUAUUUUAUACAAAAAAUUUAUGGUAAAUUAUAUGAUAUGAUGAAAAUAAUGGUAUCUUUAGAAAGACCAUUUAAUGUCGAGAAUAACUGUAUAUAAUAUAUGUGGGUACAGUAAAUGAGUAAGAGGAAAAUUACAGCUAAACACAAACACUGCAGAAAUGUUGUCAGGCUUCACGGCCACUUGCCUUCCGCCGGAGUCCCGGUUGAUACAGUCUCCGCCAAUAUUCUCUCUGACGCUGCAUGCUUGCGUACAGCGUCAUUAAAUAUGCGCCUGUGUGACCUUCCAAACCCAGCGCAUAGCGAUGACACAAAGGUUCAGAUUAAGAAGGGCAAAUACCUUCCACGAGUAGUAAUAAAUUCCAGUUGGAGGCUGACCAAUCACAAAUAGGUCUUGCCUAUUUAAGCUUGCAGAUGUUAUACCUUGUUGCCCUGUUGUGGUCUUGUGAUAGCCCAAUAUCGCACUUAUACUGUUUGAUUAUUUGUUAUUGACCUCGGCUCUGUCUCUUGAUUAUCCUGCUCUCUCUGAUCCCUGACCUCAGCUAGUUCUUCGUUAUUCUGUAUUUCUCCACCCCUUGACUUCGGCUGGUAUUCUGACAUCUCUCUGUUUGCAUAGUCCGGCCACUCUAAAGACUGUUACUGCAAUUCUGUUUGUCAUGAUCUUUCUGUGUGUUUGGUUCCAUGGAAACCUUGACAUUACAACAGGGCCACAUGGAACCUACAGAUAUUUCACAACAGCUGGCUAAUCAGGAUUCCAGGAUGGGUGGUUUCGACCAUCUCAUGGACCAGUUUGCCCAAGCAUUGCAGGCCAUCUUACAACGUCCCACUCACUAGCAACAUGAGCUGCAGGAGACUGUAUCUGCUGCUAUUGUCCCUGUUCACGGCCAGUACCAGUUGUUUCCAGCUCAUACUAUUCAGAUGACACCUCCUCAGCGCUAUGGUGGCUAUCUUGUGCUAUGUCGCAGGUUUCUUAACCAGACUGAUAUACAUCUGGUUAUGAACCCACGUUCAUACCCCAGUGACAGGUCUAAAAUAGCCUUCCUGAUUAAUCACCUCUCGGGUAGGGCCUUAGCUUGGGCUAAUCCUAUACGGAAAUCAGGUACAACCAUGUCUUAUUCAGACUUCCUGUCUGCCUUCAAGAGGAAAUUUGACGUGCCAGGGAGGGUGUCACGAUUCCGGAACCUAACACGCUAACAGGUCACAGAGAGGAAGGGUGCUAUACCGAUCCUUAGAGUGGCCGGGCUAAGCACGCUAAGAAUAGUCAGGAGACAAGCCAAGUAAAGGGAGCCAGAAAACGGGAGAACGAGAAACAAGUCGAGGUCAAAGGAGUGGAGAAGACAGGAUAAUCGGAAUAACGAGCCAAAUAAUCAGUAACCAGAGAGCAAGACGAGAACACCACGCUACAGGUAUCACAAGACCACAACAGGGCACUGAGGGACAGGAAAGGUAAGUAUAAAUACCCUUGGUUUAAUUCUGAUUGGAUAACUUCCAAUCAGAAUUAACAAUCACACGUGGGGGAUAUCUAUACCUCCCACUGUGAUUGUGGUACUGUUCCUUUAACGCCGGGUCACUCACGUGACCCCAGCGUUUACAUAAUUCAGUGACCUCCCAGCGUGCAGCGUUAUACAUGCUACCGCUGGGGGGCGUGGAGGACGUGAGCGGCGAGCGGCGAGCGGCAGAGAGGAGACGCCGCUCGCCGACAGGUAAGCGGAGGGGAGACCGCGGGCGGCGACGGACUGAGGGUGAGUGCUGCAAGUGGCGUGCAGCCUCACCUCCUAGCCGCCCGCAGAUCCCUGACAGAGGGUUACUUUCACUGGUACAUCCCUACUAGGGAUCAAACAAAGUUCUAGAUCGGUAGCAGACUAUGCUAUCGAAUUCCGUACCCUGGCGGCAGAGGUAGUGUGGAACAAUGAUGCCUUGGUAAUCGCAUUUCAGGAAGGCAUGCCUGGAUAUAUAUUGGAUGAAAUAGCAUCCAGAGAAACACCUAUCCCACUGGAUGAUCUCAUUGAUUACUGUAUUAUAAUAGACAACCGCAUAUGGGAAAGACAUACUCAGCAAGAGAAUUAUAGAAGAAUAUCUUCACACUCAUUCCCCUCUUUGCCAUCUACACCUUUGCUUGCCCUACCUCCACCUGGUCCUCCACCUGAACCCAUGCAAUUGGGCUCCGCUAAGCUGACAGAGGCUGAAAAGUCUUAUAGGAGGAGGGAAGGGUUAUGCCUUUAUUGUGAGAAAAAGUGGCAUUUAAGAAAGGCGUGCCCUAGCCUUCUGGGAAACUUGAGCACCUAAGGCCUUGGGUGUUAUGACGUUAUCCCCUCCUGCUAGUGCCAUCAGACUGCUCAUUAUGGUCAAGCUGUUAGUCACCACUAAAGCUUUGAUUGAUUCAGGUGCUGUGGAUAAUCUUAUGGACCAAAACUUUGCUAAAGCUGCUGCCCUUACUCUGAUCUGAAAGACCACACCCUUGGCCGUUGAGGCCAUAGAUGGUAGACCAUUAAACGAGACUCUGGUUACCCACGAAAUCCAAGAGUCGCAUAUGUCGAUUGGCAUUACACAUGGAACAGAUAACUUUCCAAAUUUUAAGUUCCCCUUCCUGUUCUGUUGUUUUGGGCUUCCCCUGGUUGGUGAAACACAACACCGUGUUUGACUGGAAAAAUUUAGAAAUUUAGAAAUCCUCUCUGACCCACAGCCUUUCCUCUCUCAACUGCUGUGCCACCGCAGUAUGCUGACCUAACACAGGUAUUCGAGAAAAGAGAGACUGAAAAACUACCCCCUCAUCGCACAUAUGAUUGUGCAAUUGACCUCUUAACGGGUACUAUGCUCCCCAAAGGUAGAAUAUAUCUUCUCACAGAGAAAGAGAAUAGAAUUAUGGAGGAGUACAUAGAGGAUUCUCUAAGGAAAGGAUUCAGUAGAAGUUCCUCGACCCUGGCGGGUGCCGGAUUCUUUUUUCUAUCGAAAAAGGAGGGGGAUUUGAGGCCCUGUAUCGAAUUUAGGGGUCUCAACAAGAUCACGUUCCAGAAUGCUUAUCCCAUUCCUCUUAUUACAGAACUUUUUGAUCAUGUAAAGGGGUCAAAGUAUUUUACCAAACUUGAUCUCAGGGGAGCUUAUAAUUUGGUAAGAAUAAGGGAAAAUGACGAAUGGAAAACCGUCUUUAAUACUCGCAGUGGGCAUUAUGAGUAUCUAGUGAUGCCUUUUGGCCUGUGUAAUGCUCCUGUGGUCUUUCAAGACCUAAUUAACAAUGUCCUCUGUGAUCUUUUGCAUAUAUGUACAGUGGUGUACUUGGACGACAUUCUCAUGUAUUCUCCAGAUCCUGAAACACAUCACCAACAUGUAAGAAUGGUCUUGAGAAAGCUGCUCCAGAACGGACUAUACUGGAAACUUGAGAAAUAUCUCUUCGACCAAACUACAGUACAGUUCCUGGGCUACAUAAUCUCUGAAGAAAGUUUCAGUAUGGAUCCCUCUAAAUUAGAGGCAAUCACAUCCUGGCAACUCCCCCAAUGGCUUAAGGCAAUCCAAAGAUUUAUCGGAUUUGAAAAUUACUAUAGAAAGAACUCCUCCAUUAUUGUCAAGUAUUCAUACGCACAUAAAAAUGUGGUUAAUGGCAUGUACCGUCCUGACAGGAAAAGGUGUGCCAAGCAGCAUUACCGUCCUGACAUAAAAAGUUGUGCCGAGCAGCAUUACUGCCCUGACAGGAAAAGUUGUGCCGAGCAGCAAUCAGGCACAUGGAAACCUGGUGAUUGCUUUUGGGGUCAAAAGCCAGUUAUGGCCAAUCAGAUCCACAGGAGCGUUUGUGCUGAGCAGCAAUCAUGCACAUUGAAACCUGGUAAUUGCUUUUGGGGUGAAAGGCCAGUUACGGCCAAUCAGAUCCACCGGAGGGGUAUUUAAACCCAAUUUUCCUUUUGCUCAUUGCCCUGUCGUGGUUUCAUCCUGAUGGUAAUCCGAGAGUGCGUUCCUGAUCUUGAUUUUCUGGUAUUUGACUUUGGCUUCGUUUUGACUUCCCUGAAUUCUGGUAUCCUUGACUUUUGGCUUUCCCUCAUCGUUGUGUCUGAUUCUGUGUUCCUGACCUCGGCAAGUAUUUUGACUAUUCUUGGAUAAGUUAAGCCCAGCCAUUCUAAGGGCCGAUUAUACGUUAUCCUUAGUCCUAGGUGUGACACAGUUCUGCGUGCUGGAUCAACUUGUAAUCCUGACAAUUAUAAGCCCCAGGAGACUAUGUUCUAAAUUGAACAGAGCUUAUACUGGAGUUCAGUUAAUCAAAUAGCUCCACACUUCGAGAUCUAGUGAACUAAAUUUACAACAGAAUUCAACUAGUCCAGAAACCAGAAUCAGAACAUACUUUGAGAUCUAGCGAACGGAAUUUACAACAGAAUUCGGCUAGUCUACUCGCUCCAGAAUCUGUUAUCUAGUGAAAGGAAUUUACAACAGAGUUCAACUAGUCCAGAAACCAGAAUCAGAACAUACUUUGAGAUCUAGCGAACGGAAUUUACAACAGAAUUCGGCUAGUCUACUCGCUCCAGAAUCUGCGAUCUAGUGAACAGAAUUUACAACAGAGUUCAACUAUUCCACAAACCGGAAUCUGACUGAAAAUAUAUACAUCAGAAUUUAGCCGGACAAACAGACCAUAUGCUAAAUGGGCUAGCUACAGAGCGUUUAGCUUAAGGCGGGGAUCGGCUGCCUCUUCUUUCCAGUGGAGAAGGUCAGAUACCAGAUACAGAUUUUAC
This is a non-coding RNA of Pelobates cultripes (western spadefoot toad), 6209 nucleotides long. NCBI's taxonomy places the organism in Eukaryota, Metazoa, Chordata, Amphibia, Anura, Pelobatidae. The record is from the annotation of a GenBank genome assembly.